AUACGGAGGAUCCGAGCGUUAUCCGGAUUUGUUGGGUUUAAAGGGUGCGUAGGCGGCCUUUUAAGUCAGCGGUGAAAGUCUGUGGCUCAACCAUAGAAUUGCCGUUGAAACUGGGGGGCUUGAGUAUGUUUGAGGCAGGCGGAAUGCGUGGUGUAGCGGGGAAAUGCUUAGAUAUCACGCAGAACCCCGAUUGUGAAGGCAGCCUGCCAAGCCAUGACUGACGCUGAUGCACGAAAGCGUGGGGAUCAAACAGGAUUAGAUACCCUGGUAGUCCACGCAGUAAACGAUGAUCACUAGCUGUUUGCGAUACACUGUAAGCGGCACAGCGAAAGCGUUAAGUGAUCCACCUGGGGAGUACGCCGGCAACGGUGAAACUCAAAUGAAUUGGCGGGG
This 393-nucleotide ribosomal RNA is filed under the name uncultured bacterium. RNAcentral describes it as "partial 16S ribosomal RNA". It matches the Rfam family "Bacterial small subunit ribosomal RNA", at positions 523 to 918 of the family's 1533-position model. The record is from RNAcentral.